Molecule: ribosomal RNA, 182 nt
Filed under: uncultured bacterium
Lineage: Bacteria
Description: partial 16S ribosomal RNA
Rfam family: Bacterial small subunit ribosomal RNA
Source: RNAcentral
CAUGAAGCUGGAAUCGCUAGUAAUCGCAGAUCAGAAUGCUGCGGUGAAUACGUUCCCGGGUCUUGUACACACCGCCCGUCACACCAUGGGAGUUGGAAAUGCCCGAAGUCGGUGACCUAACCGAAAGGGAGGAGCCGCCGAAGGCAGGUCUGAUAACUGGGGUGAAGUCGUAACAAGGUAUC